Molecule: ribosomal RNA, 501 nt
Filed under: uncultured bacterium
Lineage: Bacteria
Description: partial 16S ribosomal RNA
Rfam family: Bacterial small subunit ribosomal RNA
Source: RNAcentral
AUUGAACGCUGGCGGCAGGCUUAACACAUGCAAGUCGAGCGGGGGGAGGUAGCUUGCUACCGGACCUAGCGGCGGACGGGUGAGUAAUGCUUAGGAAUCUGCCUAUUAGUGGGGGACAACAUCUCGAAAGGGAUGCUAAUACCGCAUACGUCCUACGGGAGAAAGCAGGGGAUCUUCGGACCUUGCGCUAAUAGAUGGGCCUAAGUCGGAUUAGCUAGUUGGUGGGGGAAAGGCCUACCAAGGCGACGAUCUGUAGCGGGUCUGAGAGGAUGAUCCGCCACACUGGGACUGAGACACGGCCCAGACUCCUACGGGAGGCAGCAGUGGGGAAUAUUGGACAAUGGGGGGAACCCUGAUCCAGCCAUGCCGCGUGUGUGAAGAAGGCCUUAUGGUUGUAAAGCACUUUAAGCGAGGAGGAGGCUACUUUAGUUAAUACCUAGAGAUAGUGGACGUUACUCGCAGAAUAAGCACCGGCUAACUCUGUGCCAGCCGCCGCGGUAA